AUAAAUAAUCAAGGUCGAGAACCUUAAAAUUUUAA
Molecule: regulatory RNA element, 35 nt
Organism: Lutibacter sp.
Lineage: Bacteria; Pseudomonadati; Bacteroidota; Flavobacteriia; Flavobacteriales; Flavobacteriaceae
Rfam family: S16-Flavobacteria ribosomal protein leader
Source: Rfam